GCCUGGAUGGCUCAGUUGGUUAAGCAUCUGACUCUGGCUCAGGUCCUGUCUCACGAUUUGUGAGUUUGAGCCCCACGUCAGGCU
RNAcentral lists this transfer RNA (84 nucleotides) under Felis catus (domestic cat). It matches the Rfam family "tRNA". From Rfam's summary of the family: Transfer RNA (tRNA) molecules are approximately 80 nucleotides in length. The record is from Rfam by way of RNAcentral. Lineage: Eukaryota; Metazoa; Chordata; Mammalia; Carnivora; Felidae.